AGCCUUUAGCAAUACUAGUAUUAAAGGUCCUGCCUGCCCAGUGAAAAUUUUCAACGGCCGCGGUAUUCUAACCGUGCAAAGGUAGCGUAAUCACUUGUCUUCUAAAUAAAGACCAGUAUGAACGGCUGAAUGAGGAUAAACCUGUCUCCUACACCCUAUCAGUGAAACUGAUCUCCCAGUCCAAAAGCUGGAAUUCACCCACAAGACGAGAAGACCCUGUGGAGCUUAAAACCUAGUACCACUAGCCCAACAUAAACUAACUGGUAUCAGGUUUUAAGUUGGGGCGACUUCGGAACAAAACAAAACUUCCGAGCAAUGAACCACCACUUCUUACCAAGGCCAACAAGCCUAAACAAAUUGACCCAGUCAUACUGAUCAACGAACCAAGUUACCCCAGGGAUAACAGCGCUAUCUUCUUCAAGAGUCCAUAUCGACAAGAAGGUUUACGACCUCGAUGUUGGAUCAGGACACCCAAAUGGUGCAGCCGCUAUUAAAGGUUCGUUUGUUCAACGAUUAACAGUCCUACGU
RNAcentral lists this ribosomal RNA (528 nucleotides) under Larutia sp. RNAcentral's name for it is "partial large subunit ribosomal RNA". It matches the Rfam family "Bacterial large subunit ribosomal RNA", at positions 1817 to 2601 of the family's 2925-position model. Lineage: Eukaryota; Metazoa; Chordata; Lepidosauria; Squamata; Scincidae. The record is from RNAcentral.